GCCUGGAGGCCUGGAAUCCGGAUGCCUUGGUGGGCUGGGCUUCUGGCCUUUCAGGGAAGGCUGAACGGAGGCCUGUCCCCUGGAUCCCUCCCCCUGCCCUCCGAGGGUCCCCACACCAAGACACUGGCUAGAUCCCCCCCUCGUCCACUCCCCACCCUCCGUCUCUGUCCAUUUUCUUCAGCAUGGCCAUAAAAACAAUUUCCUCAGCCCCACGGGCUUUGCUGGAACUUUCCUUGUGGGAGUCCGCCAUCUGAAAAGAGAAGAGGAAGAGGAAAUUUUGACAGAGCCAUGUACGGAGGGAAGAUCUUUUAUUGAGGGAGAAGGCCAUCAGCAAGCCAAGGAGAGAGGCUCAACCAUGCCAUGCCAGCACCUUGACCUAAGACUUCUGGCCUCUAGGAUGAUAACCUGAGAGGUGGGAGGGGUAUUUGUCGUAUAAACACAAUCACAG
Molecule: long non-coding RNA, 448 nt
Organism: Neogale vison (American mink)
Lineage: Eukaryota; Metazoa; Chordata; Mammalia; Carnivora; Mustelidae
Exons: 3
Source: RefSeq, a predicted model, not a curated record